GGGCCUGUAGCUCAGUUGGGAGAGCGCUUCGUUCGCAACGAAGAGGUCAGGAGUUCAACUCUCCUCAGGUCCA
This 73-nucleotide transfer RNA is filed under the name Candidatus Omnitrophota bacterium. RNAcentral's name for it is "tRNA-Ala". It matches the Rfam family "tRNA". From Rfam's summary of the family: Transfer RNA (tRNA) molecules are approximately 80 nucleotides in length. Their secondary structure includes four short double-helical elements and three loops (D, anti-codon, and T loops). Lineage: Bacteria; Pseudomonadati; Candidatus Omnitrophota. The record is from RNAcentral.